This 546-nucleotide ribosomal RNA is filed under the name Listeria monocytogenes. Its description in RNAcentral is "bacterial SSU rRNA". It matches the Rfam family "Bacterial small subunit ribosomal RNA", at positions 997 to 1533 of the family's 1533-position model. Lineage: Bacteria; Bacillati; Bacillota; Bacilli; Caryophanales; Listeriaceae. RNAcentral also lists the same sequence under 5 other names. The record is from RNAcentral.
UUUCCAGAGAUGGAUUGGUGCCUUCGGGAACUGUGAGACAGGUGCUGCAUGGCUGUCGUCAGCUCGUGUUGUGAAAUGUUGGGUUAAGUCCCGCAACGAGCGCAACCCUUAUCCUUUGUUGCCAGCGAUUAGGUCGGGAACUCAAAGGAGACUGCCAGUGAUAAACUGGAGGAAGGUGGGGAUGACGUCAAGUCAUCAUGGCCCUUACGACCAGGGCUACACACGUGCUACAAUGGCGCAUACAAAGAGAAGCGACCUCGCGAGAGCAAGCGGACCUCAUAAAGUGCGUCGUAGUCCGGAUUGGAGUCUGCAACUCGACUCCAUGAAGUCGGAAUCGCUAGUAAUCGUGGAUCAGAAUGCCACGGUGAAUACGUUCCCGGGCCUUGUACACACCGCCCGUCACACCAUGGGAGUGGGUUGCAAAAGAAGUAGGUAGCUUAACCUUCGGGAGGGCGCUUACCACUUUGUGAUUCAUGACUGGGGUGAAGUCGUAACAAGGUAACCGUAGGGGAACCUGCGGUUGGAUCACCUCCUUACCUUAAAGAA